Molecule: long non-coding RNA, 1388 nt
Organism: Carassius gibelio (silver crucian carp)
Lineage: Eukaryota; Metazoa; Chordata; Actinopteri; Cypriniformes; Cyprinidae
Exons: 3
Source: RefSeq, a predicted model, not a curated record
UGUGUGAUGAAGUCUGAGCAGUAAUCACACACCGACAGUAAUCUGAGCACGAGAGUCUCAUCACACACACACACACACACACACACACUCUUACUGCCCUUGAUUUAGUGUAAUGUAGAGAAUCAAAAACCUGUAACGACUGAUCGAACGCUGACAUACAGAUCAUCCUGGAAAACAAUUCAAUCAGGACUGUAUCUGCUAGAAAUCUUCAUUCAUUCUGCUUUUAUAUGAACUUAACACUGCAUUUAAUUCUUUUAAAUAUUAAAAUACUGUAUACAGGUUAAGAGAACAUUAAUAUAAAACAUUUAUUUCUUAUUAAAAAAUCUUUUAUGUUUUUACAAACAAUCAGGGUCUUUUCUGCACCUGCAUUUUAUAAAGCAAGUUUUUGCAUGUGUUUUGCAAAAGAAAAUGUAUAAUUAAAUUUUUGCAUGCACUUUGCAUGCAUUAGAAAUUGCAGUUGCAUUUUUUAGCUGGAAAAAAGAGGUAUGGUGUAUAUUACUACUAUAUUACUAUUACUACGGUACAUAUCGUCACAUGAGCUCACUGUGCUUAUUUCAGUCAAUCAGAUACAAACACACUCCAGCCAUCUGAGAUGAUUCGCUUGAGGAUUUCCAGAAGUGAAACUCUAAAAUAUCAUCAGCCAGUCAGCCUUUUGAUUAUCAGCAGAGCGUCAGCUAAAACUAGCUAAAAACGACCGCUUAGACGUAAAGAAGGACAGUGCUCAUAACCACUCAUUUAAUCCAGCAGGUCCACUGGAGAAGAUGUGGCUUCUCAGGGAAACAGACGCUGCUCUGACUGAAGCCCAUCAACAGAUCUCAAGCACAAAACACAUCAAACACACAGAGACGGUCCAUCAGAGACGGAGACCAGCUCGAAACCACGACUGCAUGUGUACGCUCAUAUAAAACUGAACACGGCUCCUCAGUGACUCACAACUCAUGGGUCUGAAACAAACACAAGGAGGAUCUGACGCUUGUGUGAUAUCUGCUGGACACACGAGCUGUUGGUGGAGCUCUGAUGAAGUCUUACUGAAUCAUUCAUGUAUCGAGGUCACGGCCACGGCGUGCUCAAACAGGAACAACGCUCGGCCUUCUCUUCUCAUGGAGAAAUAAGCACUAGAUUGAUCUGCUCAUAUCUGCCCCAGCAGAGGUUUUCACUGGAAAGCAAAUGAUGUUCACUGAUGGACUGGAGUGCUGUGGAUUAUUGUGAUGUUUUUAUCAGACUCUCAUUCUGACGGCACCCAUUCACUGCAGAGCAUCCAUUGAUGAGACAUUUCUACAAACCUGAUGAAGAAACACACUCAUCCUGAUCUCACUGAACUGAUGCAUGUUUGGCUAGAUCCACAAUAACAACAAGAAGAGGAAAAUGAGGUGGAUGUUGAUUCCCAG